This 552-nucleotide small RNA is filed under the name Pan troglodytes (chimpanzee). RNAcentral's name for it is "retained intron". The record is from RNAcentral. Lineage: Eukaryota; Metazoa; Chordata; Mammalia; Primates; Hominidae.
CGAGAUGCUCAGCCUCUCGCUGCACUACAGCAAUGCGCUGCAGGAGAAGGAGCUGGCCGCCUCACGCUGCCGCAGCCUGCAGGAGGAGCUGUAUCUACUGAAGCAGGAGCUGCAGCGAGCCAACAUGGUUUCCUCCUGCGAGCUGGAAUUGCAAGAGCAGUCCCUGAGGACGGCCAGCCACCAGGAGUCCAGGGAUGAGGAGCUGAACCGCCUGAAGGAGGAGAAUGAGAAACUGCGCUCGCUGACUUUCAGCCUGGUAGGUUCCGGUCCCCCCAGCAGAGAGCAGCCUCCUGCCUUGGGGGCUUGGCCCCCAGGCUGUGGGGUUUCUGACAGGUGGUUUAAUUAAGGUGAGGCUAAGAACAAGAGAUGAAAUUUAGUGACUCAUCUCACCCACUUUCUCUUUACCUCCUUCCUUCCUGCUGUUCCCCAGACCCCAAAAUUGGCAGAAUUAAAAGCUGCUGGAACAGAAUUAAAAGCUGGAACUGGGCACAGUGGCUCAUUCCUGUAAUCCCAGCACUUGGGAGGCCAAGAUGGGCAGAUAGCUUGAGCUCA